UGUAGCUCAGUUGGUAGAGUGCUUACCUAAUAUGCAAAAGUCCUGGGUUCAACACCCAGCA
This 61-nucleotide transfer RNA is filed under the name Cricetulus griseus (Chinese hamster). It matches the Rfam family "tRNA", at positions 6 to 65 of the family's 71-position model. From Rfam's summary of the family: Transfer RNA (tRNA) molecules are approximately 80 nucleotides in length. Their secondary structure includes four short double-helical elements and three loops (D, anti-codon, and T loops). Lineage: Eukaryota; Metazoa; Chordata; Mammalia; Rodentia; Cricetidae. The record is from Rfam by way of RNAcentral.